AACGAACGCUGGCGGCAGGCCUAACACAUGCAAGUCGAGCGCCCUUUCGGGGGAGCGGCGGACGGGUGAGUAACGCGUGGGCAUAUGCCCUUCUCUACGGAAUAGCCUCGGGAAACUGAGAGUAAUACCGUAUACGCCCUUUGGGGGAAAGAUUUAUCGGGGAAGGAUUAGCCCGCGUUGGAUUAGGUAGUUGGUGGGGUAAUGGCCUACCAAGCCGACGAUCCAUAGCUGGUUUGAGAGGAUGAUCAGCCACACUGGGACUGAGACACGGCCCAGACUCCUACGGGAGGCAGCAGUGGGGAAUAUUAGACAAUGGCGGCAACCCUGAUCUAGCCAUGCCGCGUGAGUGAUGAAGGCCUUAGGGUUGUAAAGCUCUUUCAGCUGGGAAGAUAAUGACGGUACCAGCAGAAGAAGCCCCGGCUAACUCCGUG
This 431-nucleotide ribosomal RNA is filed under the name uncultured bacterium. RNAcentral's name for it is "partial 16S ribosomal RNA". It matches the Rfam family "Bacterial small subunit ribosomal RNA", at positions 29 to 507 of the family's 1533-position model. The record is from RNAcentral.